GAGGGUAUAGCUCAGUGGUGGAGUGUGUGUUUAGCAUGCAUGAGGUCCUGGGUUCAAUCCCCAGUACCUCCA
This 72-nucleotide transfer RNA is filed under the name Camelus bactrianus (Bactrian camel). It matches the Rfam family "tRNA". Rfam says of the family: Transfer RNA (tRNA) molecules are approximately 80 nucleotides in length. The record is from Rfam by way of RNAcentral. RNAcentral also lists the same sequence under 3 other names. Lineage: Eukaryota; Metazoa; Chordata; Mammalia; Artiodactyla; Camelidae.